This 487-nucleotide ribosomal RNA is filed under the name uncultured bacterium. Its description in RNAcentral is "bacterial SSU rRNA". It matches the Rfam family "Bacterial small subunit ribosomal RNA", at positions 26 to 507 of the family's 1533-position model. The record is from RNAcentral.
GGCUCGAGGAUGAACGCUAGCGGCAGGCUUAACACAUGCAAGUCGAGGGGUAUAGUUCUUCGGAACUAGAGACCGGCGCGACGGGUGCGUAACGCGUAUGCAAUCUACCUUUUGCAGAGGGAUAGCCAGAGAAAUUUGGAUUAAUACCUCAUAGUAUAGCAGUUUCGCAUGAAACCACUAUUAAAGUCACAACGGCAAAAGAUGAGCAUGCGUCCCAUUAGCUAGUUGGUAAGGUAACGGCUUACCAAGGCUACGAUGGGUAGGGGGUCCUGAGAGGGAGAUCCCCCACACUGGUACUGAGACACGGACCAGACUCCUACGGGAGGCAGCAGUGAGGAAUAUUGGACAAUGGGCGCAAGCCUGAUCCAGCCAUGCCGCGUGCAGGAUGACGGUCCUAUGGAUUGUAAACUGCUUUUAUACAGGAAGAAACACUCCGACGUGUCGGAGCUUGACGGUACUGUAAGAAUAAGGAUCGGCUAACUCCGUG